Nicotiana tabacum (common tobacco) is the source of this 1501-nucleotide non-coding RNA. NCBI's taxonomy places the organism in Eukaryota, Viridiplantae, Streptophyta, Magnoliopsida, Solanales, Solanaceae. The record is from RefSeq and is a predicted model, not a curated record.
CCAAGAAACAUUAACGCAAAUUUUCAUGCCGAAUUUGUAAAGCGGAUAGCAGCCAAGAAAGAACAAAGUGAAAAGAUUAAGGCAUUCAAGAAGCACAAGUUUGUUUCUUGGAAAAUCCACAAACGGAAAUUUUCGGCCUUUCACUGUCCUUCCCGUUUCCACUCUGUUUUUUAAGUUCAGAAUUUGCCCUCCUUCACUAAGUUAGGGACUGAUUUUUUCGAAAUAAAAAAAUGAUAUCAGGACAUCGGAAAGAUGAAAAAAUGACCUCGAAUUUUGUAUUUUCAAUUUCAUGAGCUUUCCCUAGAAAGAUACAAAUGCUGGGCGGCAUAUAUCGCCACAUACAAACCGCCACGCGUAAAAUGCAUUGCGCCUAACCCUUAACGCUGUAUUUCCUCCGCUUACUUAAAGAGCUAUCACUUCUCACUCUUAAAUUCAAAUUCAAUCGUCCAAAACGAGCCGCCGCCGCCGGAGUAGGUGGAAGGCAGAAUUCCUGAAGCUGCUCUUACGCUGCACUUCAACACUAUGCCUCUCCGUCUUCAAACGGUGCGUUCAAUCACAAGCCCUAUUAUAUUCUAUUUCACAAUUUCCAGAUGUUGAACUCGCAUGACAUUGGUAAAAAGAAACUUUUGGAGCAAUGUUCUCUUUUUGCCAAUGUCAAGCGGGUUCAUGAUAUGCCCGGGGCCUUGAUGACAUUUUUGCCAACUCCAAUGCAUUUAUGGUGGCGCGAUGAACGGAAAUUUCAAUUGAGAAGAUAUUCUUGGUUCAAAAGGUAACAUCCUAAGGGUAUUCGCUCUUCGACAUGCCAAAACAUAAGUGCUAUGCAAGGAAGGUGAUUCUGUUGUAGCCAUGCACUGCAUUGGAGCUGACAUGCCAAAACAUAAGUGCUAUGCAAGGAAGGUGAUUCUGUUGUAGCCAUGCACUGCAUUGGAGCUGACAUGCCAAAACAUAAGUGCUAUGCAAGGAAGGUGAUUCUGUUGUAGCCAUGCACUGCAUUGGAGCUGCUUCUGGGGUCAAGGUUGUUACAUCAAGAGAUGACUUUUGACUCGUGAUUUGUUCUAGUUUCGAUUGUUCCAAAUGGGUGACUGAUAAAUGCUUUUCUUAUUCCGCUGAAUCAUUUUCCGGCUUCUAGAGAUGGACUUAUGACUAUGCCUUCCCAUAUUUCUUUGUGCUUGCAACACCUCGCUUCUACUACAGAAUUUGGGAGUGAAGCGUAGUUAUUGUUGUAUUCGCUUUGAAAUUAUCUGGUUAAAGUGGAGUCAUCUUCGAAUUAUAUACAGAGCCUUACAGGCUCUAGAUUAAAAGUGUCCUGUUCCUCACAGAACUUUUGCCCACUAUGACUCAUUUCUCAGCUUUCGUUUGAUGUUUCAUGAAAGUAAUGUUGUAUUUGAUCGUCCAUGUGCCUUGUCUGCUGCCAAGUUGUACGUAACACGACACUUAAGAGAUUGGAAAUGCCAAAGAUGUCAAUUGUCAACUUUCUAUUGUAUAUGACAUGAAUAUAUAA